GCGAGAAAACUUUGCAAUGUGCGAAAGCACGACAAGGUUAAUCCGAGUGGUUUCUGCUAAAGAAACCUUUUGUCAGUCCUAGAAACACUAACGAAUAAGGGGUGGGCAAGUUCUGGUGUCAGCCGCCGCGGUAAAACCAGCACCUCAAGUGGUCAGGAUGAUUAUUGGGCCUAAAGCAUCCGUAGCUCGUUUUGUAAGUUUUCGGUUAAAUCCAUACGCUUAACGUAUGGGCUGCCGGGAAUACUGCAUAACUAGGAAGUGGGAGAGGUAGACGGUACUCGGUAGGAAGGGGUAAAAUCCUUUGAUCUAUUGAUGACCACCUGUGGCGAAGGCGGUCUACCAGAACACGUUCGACGGUGAGGGAUGAAAGCUGGGGGAGCAAACCGGAUUAAAUACCCACGUAGUCCCUGAGCGGGCUGGCAAGGCGCAU
This 430-nucleotide ribosomal RNA is filed under the name uncultured bacterium. RNAcentral's name for it is "bacterial SSU rRNA". It matches the Rfam family "Archaeal small subunit ribosomal RNA", at positions 339 to 776 of the family's 1478-position model. The record is from RNAcentral.